CAUGACGAACGCUGGCGGCGUGCUUAACACAUGCAAGUCGAACGGAAAGGCCCUGCUUUUGUGGGGUGCUCGAGUGGCGAACGGGUGAGUAACACGUGAGUAACCUGCCCUUGACCUUGGGAUAACUUCAGGAAACUGGGGCUAAUACCGGAUAGGAGCUCCUGCUGCAUGGUGGGGGUUGGAAAGUUUCGGCGGUUGGGGAUGGACUCGCGGCUUAUCAGCUUGUUGGUGGGGUAGUGGCUUACCAAGGCUUUGACGGGUAGCCGGCCUGAGAGGGUGACCGGCCACAUUGGGACUGAGAUACGGCCCAGACUCCUACGGGAGGCAGCAGUGGGGAAUAUUGCACAAUGGGCGGAAGCCUGAUGCAGCAACGCCGCGUGCGGGAUGACGGCCUUCGGGUUGUAAACCGCUUUCGCCUGUGACGAAGCGUGAGUGACGGUAAUGGGUAAAGAAGCACCGGCUAACUACGUGCCAGCAGCCGCGGUGAUACGUAGGGUGCGAGCGUUGUCCGGAUUUAUUGGGCGUAAAGGGCUCGUAGGUGGUUGAUCGCGUCGGAAGUGUAAUCUUGGGGCUUAACCCUGAGCGUGCUUUCGAUACGGGUUGACUUGAGGAAGGUAGGGGAGAAUGGAAUUCCUGGUGGAGCGGUGGAAUGCGCAGAUAUCAGGAGGAACACCAGUGGCGAAGGCGGUUCUCUGGGCCUUUCCUGACGCUGAGGAGCGAAAGCGUGGGGAGCGAACAGGCUUAGAUACCCUGGUAGUCCACGCUGUAAACGGUGGGUACUAGGUGUGGGGUCCAUUCCACGGGUUCCGUGCCGUAGCUAACGCUUUAAGUACCCCGCCUGGGGAGUACGGCCGCAAGGCUAAAACUCAAAGGAAUUGACGGGGCCCCGCACAAGCGGCGGAGCAUGCGGAUUAAUUCGAUGCAACGCGUAGAACCUUACCUGGGUUUGACAUGGAUCGGGAGUGCUCAGAGAUGGGUGUGCCUCUUUUGGGGUCGGUUCACAGGUGGUGCAUGGCUGUCGUCAGCUCGUGUCGUGAGAUGUUGGGUUAAGUCCCGCAACGAGCGCAACCCUUGUUCACUGUUGCCAGCACGUUAUGGUGGGGACUCAGUGGAGACCGCCGGGGUCAACUCGGAGGAAGGUGGGGAUGACGUCAAGUCAUCAUGCCCCUUAUGUCCAGGGCUUCACGCAUGCUACAAUGGCUGGUACAGAGAGUGGCGAGCCUGUGAGGGUGAGCGAAUCUCGGAAAGCCGGUCUCAGUUCGGAUUGGGGUCUGCAACUCGACCUCAUGAAGUCGGAGUCGCUAGUAAUCGCAGAUCAGCAACGCUGCGGUGAAUACGUUCCCGGGGCUUGUACACACCGCCCGUCAAGUCAUGAAAGUUGGUAACACCCGAAGCCGGUGGCCUAACCGUUGUGGGGGAGCCGUCGAAGGUGGGACUGGU
RNAcentral lists this ribosomal RNA (1440 nucleotides) under uncultured organism. RNAcentral's name for it is "partial small subunit ribosomal RNA". It matches the Rfam family "Bacterial small subunit ribosomal RNA". The record is from RNAcentral.